UACAGAGGUCCCGAGCGUUGUUCGGAUUCACUGGGCGUAAAGGGUGCGUAGGUGGUGUGGCAAGUUUGAUGUGAAAUCUCCGGGCUUAACCCGGAAAAUGCAUUGAAUACUGCCAGGCUGGAGGGUUGGAGGGGGGACUGGAAUUCUCGGUGUAGCAGUGAAAUGCGUAGAUAUCGGGAGGAACACCUGUGGCGAAGGCGGCCCCCUGGUUGGAUACUGACGCUGAUACGCGAAAGCGUGGGGAGCAAACAGG
Molecule: ribosomal RNA, 253 nt
Filed under: uncultured bacterium
Lineage: Bacteria
Description: partial 16S ribosomal RNA
Rfam family: Bacterial small subunit ribosomal RNA
Source: RNAcentral